This 512-nucleotide ribosomal RNA is filed under the name uncultured soil bacterium. Its description in RNAcentral is "bacterial SSU rRNA". It matches the Rfam family "Bacterial small subunit ribosomal RNA", at positions 26 to 542 of the family's 1533-position model. The record is from RNAcentral.
AGAUUGAACGCUGGCGGCAUGCCUAACACAUGCAAGUCGAACGGGAGUAGCAAUACUCUAGUGGCGGACGGGUGAGGAAUACGUAGGAAUUUGCCCUUAAGUGGGGGAUAACCCGGGGAAACCCGGAUUAAUACCGCAUGACCUCGAAAGAGCAAAGUGGGGGAUCGCAAGACCUCACGCUUUUGGAGAAGCCUACGUCGGAUUAGCUAGUUGGUGAGGUAAUGGCUCACCAAGGCGACGAUCCGUAACUGGUCUGAGAGGAUGAUCAGUCACACCGGAACUGAGACACGGUCCGGACUCCUACGGGAGGCAGCAGUGGGGAAUAUUGGACAAUGGGACGCAAGCCUGAUCCAGCAAUGCCGCGUGUGUGAAGAAGGCCUUGGGUUGUAAAGCACUUUAAGUUAGGAAGAAAAAACGUACGACGUCUAACGAACAGUGAGUACUUGACGUACCGACAGAAUAAGACACCGCGUAACUCGUGUCGACCACGACGAGACCGCGGUAACGUCGUU